CGCGCUGAACGCGGCCGUCGAGGCGGCGCGCGCGGGCGAGCAGGGCCGCGGCUUCGCCGUUGUCGCAUCGGAGGUGCGCAGCCUCGCGCAGCGCUCGGCGACAGCCGCGCGCGAAAUCAAGGAGCUGAUCGGCGGCUCGGUCGUGCAGGUCGAGGCCGGCGACCGUCUCGCGAAGGAAGCGGGCGCGACGAUGCACGAAGUCGUCGAGAGUAUCCGGCGCGUGACGCUGAUCAUGGCCGAGAUCACGCGCGCGAGCGAGCAGCAGACGAGCGGCAUCGUCGAGAUCGAUCGCGCGAUCACGCAGAUGGAUCAGGUCACGCAGCAGAACGCCUCGCUCGUCGAGGAGGCGGCCGCCGCGGCCGAAUCGAUGCGCGAGCAGUCCGCCGCGCUCGUGCGCGCGGUGCGCGUGUUCAAGCUGGAUGCGUAUCCGGCCGUAGCGUCGAGCCGCGCCGCACCGCCCGCGCGGCCUGCGCGGCCUGCGCGCGUCGCGAGCUUCGACGCCGGGGCGAGCGUGGCCGCGCAUGCCGCGCCGCGACUGGCGCGCAUCGCGCCCUGAGCGCAGCCGAAGGCUGCGUCACAUGAGCGUGCCUUGGCGGGCCUUCGGCUGUUUCUCGGCUGUUUGCCGGUGGUUUGCCAAAAAUGUGCCGGUAGUUUGUCGGCCGUCUGCCGGCCGUGUGCGGCGACGCCGCCCGCCGGCCGCGCCGCCCGUCCAUCGCAAGGAAUCCCGAUCAUGUCAGCUUCAUCGCCUUCGCGUGCGCGGCCGGGCGCACGCCCGCACGACGGCGCGCCCGCGCCCGUGCGCGACGCGUGUCCGGCACCGCGCCGGGACGCGUCAGCGCCGGAGAAUCUCUUCUGGCACGCCGGGCGCGUCGCCGCCGACGCGCGCUCGACCCAGUUCGGCCGCCCGCCGCUCACGCUGUGGCUCACCGGCCUGAGCGGCGCGGGCAAGUCGACGCUCGCGGGCGAACUGGAGCGGUUGCUGCUGCGCGAUCGAUGGCCGUGCGCGGUGCUCGACGGCGAUAACCUGCGCCACCGGUUGAACCGCGAUCUCGGCUUCGGCGCGGAAGAUCGCCACGAGAACAUCCGGCGCACCGCCGAGGUCGCGCGGCUGAUGAACGGCGUCGGGCUCGUCGUCAUCGCUUCGCUGAUCUCGCCGUUUCGCGACGAUCGCGCGAUGGCGCGCGAGAUCGUGGGCAGCGACUGGUUCAGCGAGGUUUACGUGAGCACGCCGCUCGACGAAUGCGAGCGGCGCGAUCCGAAAGGGCUGUAUCGCAAGGCGCGCGGCGGCCUGCUGCCGAACUUCACCGGCGUGUCCGCGCCGUACGAACCGCCGGUAUCCGCCGAUCUCGCGAUCGACACCACGCGGCUGUCGGUCGCCGCCGCUGCGG
This 1388-nucleotide ribosomal RNA is filed under the name Burkholderia mallei 2002721280. Its description in RNAcentral is "16S ribosomal RNA". Lineage: Bacteria; Pseudomonadati; Pseudomonadota; Betaproteobacteria; Burkholderiales; Burkholderiaceae. The record is from RNAcentral.